This 421-nucleotide ribosomal RNA is filed under the name Fusobacteriota bacterium. Its description in RNAcentral is "Fusobacteria bacterium partial 16S ribosomal RNA". It matches the Rfam family "Bacterial small subunit ribosomal RNA", at positions 355 to 776 of the family's 1533-position model. The record is from RNAcentral. Lineage: Bacteria; Fusobacteriati; Fusobacteriota.
UGGGGAAUAUUGCACAAUGGACGGAAGUUUGAUGCAGCGACGCCGCGUGGAGGGUGUAGGCCUUCGGGUUGUGAACUCCUUUUUCUCGCGAAAAAGGCACAGUUUUGGCUGUGUUGAUGGUAGUGGGGGAAGAAGCGCCGGCUAACUACGUGCCAGCAGCCGCGGUAAUACGUAGGGCGCGAGCGUUGUCCGGAUUUAUUGGGCGUAAAGAGCUCGUAGGUGGUUCGUCGCGUCUGUCGUGAAAGCCAGCAGCUUAACUGUUGGUCUGCGGUGGGUACGGGCGGGCUUGAGUGCGGUAGGGGUGACUGGAAUUCCUGGUGUAGCGGUGGAAUGCGCAGAUAUCAGGAGGAACACCGAUGGCGAAGGCAGGUCACUGGGCCGUUACUGACACUGUGGAGCGAAAGCGUGGGGAGCGAACAGG